This 449-nucleotide ribosomal RNA is filed under the name uncultured bacterium. Its description in RNAcentral is "partial 16S ribosomal RNA". It matches the Rfam family "Bacterial small subunit ribosomal RNA", at positions 338 to 795 of the family's 1533-position model. The record is from RNAcentral.
CCUACGGGUGGCUGCAGUGGGGAAUUUUGGACAAUGGGCGCAAGUCUGAUCCAGCCAUGCCGCGUGCAGGAUGAAGGCCCUCGGGUUGUAAACUGCUUUUGUACGGAACGAAAAGCCUCUCUCGAAUAAAGAGGGGUGAUGACGGUACCGUAAGAAUAAGCACCGGCUAACUACGUGCCAGCAGCCGCGGUAAUACGUAGGGUGCGAGCGGUAAUCGGAAUUACUGGGCGGAUCUCGCACGCAGGCGGUCAAGUCCCCGGGCUCAACCUGGGAACGGCCAUUGUGACUGCAAGGCUGGAGUACGGCAGAGGGGGAUGGAAUUCCGCGUGUAGCAGUGAAAUGCGUAGAUAUGCGGAGGAACACCGAUGGCGAAGGCAGUCCCCUGGGCCUGUACUGACGCUCAUGCACGAAAGCGUGGGGAGCAAACAGGAUUAGAUACCCCGGUAGUC